Molecule: ribosomal RNA, 486 nt
Filed under: uncultured bacterium
Lineage: Bacteria
Description: partial 16S ribosomal RNA
Rfam family: Bacterial small subunit ribosomal RNA
Source: RNAcentral
AUUGAACGCUGGCGGCAUGCCUUACACAUGCAAGUCGAACGGCAGCGCGGACUUCGGUCUGGCGGCGAGUGGCGAACGGGUGAGUAAUACAUCGGAACGUACCCUGUUGUGGGGGAUAACUAGUCGAAAGAUUAGCUAAUACCGCAUACGACCUGAGGGUGAAAGUGGGGGACCGGAAACGGCCUCAUGCAGCAGGAGCGGCCGAUGUCUGAUUAGCUAGUUGGUGGGGUAAAGGCCCACCAAGGCGACGAUCAGUGGCUGGUCUGAGAGGACGAUCAGCCACACUGGGACUGAGACACGGCCCAGACUCCUACGGGAGGCAGCAGUGGGGAAUUUUGGACAAUGGGGGCAACCCUGAUCCAGCAAUGCCGCGUGUGUGAAGAAGGCCUUCGGGUUGUAAAGCACUUUUGUCCGGAAAGAAAUCGCGCUGGUUAAUACCUGGCGUGGAUGACGGUACCGGAAGAAUAAGCACCGGCUAACUACGUG